GAGUUUGAUCCUGGCUCAGAGCGAACGCUGGCGGCGUACUUAACACAUGCAAGUCGAACGGGGAUCAUUGUGUGAGCAAUCAUGUGAUGGUCCUAGUGGCGCACGGGUGAGUAACACGUGGGUAACCUGCCCUCGAGACCGGGAUACCCCUUCGAAAGGGGGGCUAAUACCGGAUACGUUCCCUGGGUCGAAAGAUCUGAGGAAGAAAGGUGGCGCAAGCUGCCGCUCUUGGAGGGGCUCGCGGCCUAUCAGCUAGUUGGCGGGGUAACGGCCCACCAAGGCUAUGACGGGUAGCUGGUCUGAGAGGACGACCAGCCACACGGGGACUGAGACACGGCCCCGACUCCUACGGGAGGCAGCAGUGGGGAAUUUUCCGCAAUGGGCGAAAGCCUGACGGAGUGACGCCGCGUGUGGGAUGAAGGCCUUCGGGUCGUAACCACUGUCAGUGGGAAAGAUGGGCGUCGGCGCGAUAACCGCCGGCAUC
This 484-nucleotide ribosomal RNA is filed under the name uncultured Thermomicrobium sp. Its description in RNAcentral is "bacterial SSU rRNA". It matches the Rfam family "Bacterial small subunit ribosomal RNA", at positions 9 to 479 of the family's 1533-position model. Lineage: Bacteria; Pseudomonadati; Thermomicrobiota; Thermomicrobia; Thermomicrobiales; Thermomicrobiaceae. The record is from RNAcentral.